GCUGCCUUCGCCAUCGGUAUUCCUCCACAUCUCUACGCAUUUCACUGCUACACGUGGAAUUCUACCCCCCUCUGCCAUACUCUAGCCCGCCAGUCACAAAUGCAGUUCCCAGGUUAAGCCCGGGGAUUUCACAUCUGUCUUAGCGAACCGCCUGCGCACGCUUUACGCCCAGUAAUUCCGAUUAACGCUUGCACCCUACGUAUUACCGCGGCUGCUGGCACGUAGUUAGCCGGUGCUUAUUCUUCCGGUACCGUCAUCCUCCCGCCGUAUUAGGACAGAAGUUUUCUUUCCGGACAAAAGUGCUUUACAACCCGAAUGCCUUCUUCACACACGCGGCAUUGCUGGAUCAGGCUCUUCGCCCAUUGUCCAAAAUUCCCCACUGCUGCCUCCCGUAGGAGUCUGGGCCGUGUCUCUGUCCCAGUGUGGCUGGUCGUGCUCUCAGACCAGCUACAGAUCGUCGCCUUGGUAUGGCCUAUACGCCCACCAAACUAGCUAAAUU
RNAcentral lists this ribosomal RNA (499 nucleotides) under Paraburkholderia phytofirmans. RNAcentral describes it as "partial 16S ribosomal RNA". Lineage: Bacteria; Pseudomonadati; Pseudomonadota; Betaproteobacteria; Burkholderiales; Burkholderiaceae. The record is from RNAcentral.